UUCGCCCUUUUCCGGUUGAUCCUGCCGGACCCCACUGCUAUCGAGGUGGGACUAAGCCAUGCUAGUUGAGCGCACAGAACUAUGUCUGUGAGCGGCACACUGCUCAGUAACACGUAGCUAACCUACCCUUAGGACGUGGACAACCCCGAGAAAUUGGGGCUAAUCCGCGAUAGAUGUAUUGUCCUGGAAUGGUAUUACGUCUAAAGGUAUCCCAUACAUGUUUGGUAUACGCCUAAGGAUGGGGCUGCGGCCGAUCAGGCAGUUGGUGAGGUAAUGGCUCACCAAACCUUUGACCGGUACGGGCCAUGAGAGUGGUAGCCCGGAGAUGGACACUGAGACAAGGGUCCAGGCCCUACGGGGCGCAGCAGGCGCGAAACCUCCUCAAUGCACUUACGUGCGAAGGGGCUACCUCGAGUGCCACCUGAUGAAGGUGGCUUUUCCUAGGUCUAAAAAGCCUUGGGAAUAAGAGGGGGGCAAGACUGGUGUCAGCCGCCGCGGUAACACCAGCCCCUCGAGUGGUGGGGAUGAUUAUUGGGCCUAAAGCGUCCGUAGCCUGCCGUAUAAGUUUCCCGUUAAAUCCAGCGUCUCAAGCGUUGGACUGCGGGAAAUACUGUACGGCUAGAGAGUGGGAGAGGUCAGCGGUAUUCUGGGGGUAGGGGCGAAAUCCUUUGAUCCCCGGAGGACCACCAGUGGCGAAGGCUGCUGACUAGAACACGUCUG
RNAcentral lists this ribosomal RNA (720 nucleotides) under uncultured archaeon. Its description in RNAcentral is "bacterial SSU rRNA". It matches the Rfam family "Archaeal small subunit ribosomal RNA", at positions 1 to 693 of the family's 1478-position model. The record is from RNAcentral.